This 71-nucleotide transfer RNA is filed under the name Hypselodoris bullockii. Its description in RNAcentral is "tRNA-Asn". Lineage: Eukaryota; Metazoa; Mollusca; Gastropoda; Nudibranchia; Chromodorididae. The record is from RNAcentral.
AGAAAAGAAGCUAAUGGAGCAUUUGAUUGUUACUCAAAUAUAGCACAAGUUAUUAGAUUGUGCCUUUUCUA